GUCUGUGUGGCUCAGUCGGUUGAGCGUCUGACUUGAGCUCAGGUGAUGAUCUCAUGGUUCACAGGUU
Molecule: transfer RNA, 67 nt
Filed under: Felis catus (domestic cat)
Lineage: Eukaryota; Metazoa; Chordata; Mammalia; Carnivora; Felidae
Rfam family: tRNA
About the family: Transfer RNA (tRNA) molecules are approximately 80 nucleotides in length.
Source: Rfam by way of RNAcentral